This 110-nucleotide non-coding RNA is filed under the name uncultured Caulobacter sp. Its description in RNAcentral is "Glycine riboswitch". It matches the Rfam family "Glycine riboswitch aptamer", at positions 9 to 86 of the family's 94-position model. From Rfam's summary of the family: This family represents the bacterial glycine riboswitch. The record is from RNAcentral. Lineage: Bacteria; Pseudomonadati; Pseudomonadota; Alphaproteobacteria; Caulobacterales; Caulobacteraceae.
AAACGCUGGAAAGCAGCCGUCCGAAAGGCCGGCUCGCCGAAGGAGCAAGGCUGACCCCAAACAGCAGAGGGGGAAGGCCGGAAUCUCUCAGGCCAAAGGGACAGCGGGGG